This 263-nucleotide ribosomal RNA is filed under the name uncultured bacterium. Its description in RNAcentral is "partial 16S ribosomal RNA". It matches the Rfam family "Bacterial small subunit ribosomal RNA", at positions 334 to 613 of the family's 1533-position model. The record is from RNAcentral.
UUGUCCCUACGGGACGCAGCAGUGGGGAAUAUUGCACAAUGGGGGAAACCCUGAUGCAGCGACGCCGCGUGAGCGAUGAAGUAUUUCGGUAUGUAAAGCUCUAUCAGCAGGGAAGAAAAUGACGGUACCUGACUAAGAAGCCCCGGCUAACUACGUGCCAGCAGCCGCGGUAAUACGUAGGGGGCAAGCGUUAUCCGGAUUUACUGGGGGGAAAGGGAGCGUAGACGGUCCUGCAAGCCAGAUGUGAAAGCCCAGGGCGCAAC